Molecule: ribosomal RNA, 173 nt
Filed under: Clostridioides difficile
Lineage: Bacteria; Bacillati; Bacillota; Clostridia; Peptostreptococcales; Peptostreptococcaceae
Also listed under: 4 other names
Description: partial 23S ribosomal RNA
Rfam family: Bacterial large subunit ribosomal RNA
Source: RNAcentral
CUAUGUACGGAAUGGAUAAGCGCUGAAAGCAUCUAAGCGCGAAGCCAACUUCAAGAUAAGAUUUCCCACCGCAAGGGUAAGACCCCAGAAAGACUAUCUGGUUGAUAGGUCGAAGGUGUAAGUGCAGUAAUGUAUUUAGCUUAUCGAUACUAAUAGGUCGAGGACUUGACCAA